This 518-nucleotide ribosomal RNA is filed under the name Aureobasidium pullulans. Its description in RNAcentral is "eukaryotic LSU rRNA". The stretch from base 146 to 299 matches the Rfam family "5.8S ribosomal RNA". Lineage: Eukaryota; Fungi; Ascomycota; Dothideomycetes; Dothideales; Saccotheciaceae. The record is from RNAcentral.
UUUGUUGUUAAAACUACCUUGUUGCUUUGGCGGGACCGCUCGGUCUCGAGCCGCUGGGGAUUCGUCCCAGGCGAGCGCCCGCCAGAGUUAAACCAAACUCUUGUUAUUUAACCGGUCGUCUGAGUUAAAAUUUUGAAUAAAUCAAAACUUUCAACAACGGAUCUCUUGGUUCUCGCAUCGAUGAAGAACGCAGCGAAAUGCGAUAAGUAAUGUGAAUUGCAGAAUUCAGUGAAUCAUCGAAUCUUUGAACGCACAUUGCGCCCCUUGGUAUUCCGAGGGGCAUGCCUGUUCGAGCGUCAUUACACCACUCAAGCUAUGCUUGGUAUUGGGCGUCGUCCUUAGUUGGGCGCGCCUUAAAGACCUCGGCGAGGCCACUCCGGCUUUAGGCGUAGUAGAAUUUAUUCGAACGUCUGUCAAAGGAGAGGAACUCUGCCGACUGAAACCUUUAUUUUUCUAGGUUGACCUCGGAUCAGGUAGGGAUACCCGCUGAACUUAAGCAUAUCAAUAANCGGAGGAAA